CUAGUCCCCUUCAAAGCCAGGAAGGCAAGGGCGCCCUCUCAUGGUGACAAGCAGCAUGACGAAGAGAGCACGCGGUGGUGACAGGCGCUCAAGACGCCCAAUGCCAACAGACCUGCUGGUCUUCCCCAAAUUACAGAAGCCCACACCUUCACCAGAGGCCUCAAAGCAGCAAAUGCCAGGUAUUACAGAGAACACAACAUCUCCUGAUGGGCCUGGCAUAGACACAAAUCUUAUAAAUUGGUUGCAACUACAAGGAGUGGAUGCAAAUACAAACAAAAAGCCCUCAUGUGAAUUUUCAGAGGGGACGAAGCAGAGGCAGGCCCAGGCAAGGGCAGAGAAGGGCAGAGGUGACCGGCCUUGCCUACCUACUCUCCACGGACCAAACAACUGCUCAGUGUGCUUCCAGGAGAACUCUCCAUAGCUAAGGCUCACAGUUAAGACUUUGGACUAUGAAGAUGUUGGAAACAGUGUUGGGAUUGAUUAGAAGCUAUGAAACUUAGGCUGGAGAGAUGGCUUAGUGUUUAAGACACUUUCCUGCAGAGCCUGAGGACCCAGGUUCAAUU
Long non-coding RNA from Jaculus jaculus (lesser Egyptian jerboa), 563 nucleotides. RefSeq lists it as uncharacterized. The record is from RefSeq and is a predicted model, not a curated record. NCBI's taxonomy places the organism in Eukaryota, Metazoa, Chordata, Mammalia, Rodentia, Dipodidae. The transcript has 4 exons.